RNAcentral lists this transfer RNA (93 nucleotides) under Deinococcus aetherius. Its description in RNAcentral is "tRNA-Pro". It matches the Rfam family "tRNA". From Rfam's summary of the family: Transfer RNA (tRNA) molecules are approximately 80 nucleotides in length. Their secondary structure includes four short double-helical elements and three loops (D, anti-codon, and T loops). The record is from RNAcentral. Lineage: Bacteria; Thermotogati; Deinococcota; Deinococci; Deinococcales; Deinococcaceae.
UGGAACAGUGCCCGAGGGGUUAAAGGGGCACGCCUGGGAAGCAUGAAUAGGGGCAACCUUACCGAGGGUUCGAAAUCCCUCCCGUUCCGCCCA